This 492-nucleotide ribosomal RNA is filed under the name uncultured bacterium. RNAcentral describes it as "partial 16S ribosomal RNA". It matches the Rfam family "Bacterial small subunit ribosomal RNA", at positions 29 to 507 of the family's 1533-position model. The record is from RNAcentral.
AGUGAACGCUGGCGGUAGGCCUAACACAUGCAAGUCGAACGGCAGCACAGUAAGAGCUUGCUCUUACGGGUGGCGAGUGGCGGACGGGUGAGGAAUACAUCGGAAUCUACUUUUUCGUGGGGGAUAACGUAGGGAAACUUACGCUAAUACCGCAUACGACCUACGGGUGAAAGCAGGGGAUCUUCGGACCUUGCGCGAUUGAAUGAGCCGAUGUCGGAUUAGCUAGUUGGCGGGGUAAAGGCCCACCAAGGCGACGAUCCGUAGCUGGUCUGAGAGGAUGAUCAGCCACACUGGAACUGAGACACGGUCCAGACUCCUACGGGAGGCAGCAGUGGGGAAUAUUGGACAAUGGGCGCAAGCCUGAUCCAGCCAUACCGCGUGGGUGAAGAAGGCCUUCGGGUUGUAAAGCCCUUUUGUUAGGAAAGAAAAGCAGCAGGUUAAUACCCCGCUGUCCUGACGGUACCCAAAGAAUAAGCACCGGCUAACUUCGUG